AUUUAUAAUUUUUCACGAGGAAAGUAGGAGCAGAAGCCAGUCUAAAAACCGAACAGAAACACCGGUUCGUUACUUCGCCACUGCUCCGCCACUUCUAUUUCUCGUCCCAGCGGCGGAGACAUGCGUGCCACCAUCAUCUUUUCACAACUCUCUCUUCUGAAGCGACUAUCUCACUACUUCAAUGCGACCCUCUCUUUCACGUCGGAGGCUUGGCCGUCUGCAGACGAUCCCGACGACGGAUUCCCAUACUCCGACGUGCCGUAUCCUAGCCGGAUAAAGUCUGAGAGGAAACCGUACGUGACACCAAUGAAGGUUCUGAUUGCGAGGGCGAAGGCAGAAAGAGAAGCACGAAAGGCACAACCUUGUAGGGUUUUGGAAGAGCCUCCUGAGAACGGGUUGCUUGUACCGGAGCUUGUUGAGGUUGCUCAUCGUGUUUAUCGAGCUCGAGGGUUUCUACUAUCCGGUUUGCGUCAACUCGUCCGAGUCAUUCCCAUUUUGCGCUGCGAGCUGUGUAAUGAGGUUCACAUUGGUUAUGUGGGUCAUGAAAUUCGAACAUGUACUGGACCAAACAGUUUCUCGCGAAAUGCAACUCAUGUUUGGAGAAGAGGAGGUAUUCGAGAUGUCGUUUGUUUCCCCAAAUGCUUUCAUCUCUAUGACCGUGUUGGCAAGCCAAGAGUUGGACAUGAUGAGAGGUUUAGCGUUCCUCGUAUCCCUGCCAUAGUUGAACUCUGUAUACAAGCGGGUCUAGACCUUGAAAAAUAUCCGACAAAGAGGAGAACCAAACCUGUCUAUUGUAUUGAAGGAAGAAUUGCGGAUUUCGAAUCUGUUGUGGAAGAGGAUGAAAGUGAAAGAAAACCUUCUUUAGAAAAUUUCAAUCCUUUAAUGGAUCCAUCCUCUAUGUUGAUAGAGCCUGUAGAGAAUAUAAGCCAUAUCGAUGAGCUGAAGGAUGAAGAAAGGAACAAAUUAAGGAUUUUAAGUGAACAUACAUUGAACUCAUGGUUUGAGAUGACAUCAGGUGCAAAGAAGAUAAUGGAGAAGUAUGUUGUGAAUACUUGUGGUUAUUGUCCUGAAGUUCAGGUUGGUCCUAAGGGACAUAAGUUAAGAAUGUGCAAGGCUUCAAAGCAUCAGUCUCGGAACGGUUUGCAUGCAUGGCAAGAGGCAAUAUUAGAUGAUCUUGUUGGUCCGAAUUAUGUCUGGCAUGUUGAGGAUCUGAAUGGACCUGCUCUGAAUAACAAUCUGAAGAGAUAUUAUGGCAAGGCUCCCGCUGUGGUUGAACUCUGUGUGCAUGCUGGUGCUCCCGUUCCUGAUCAAUAUAGGAGCAUGAUGAGACUAGACGUGGUUUCCCCAGAACGAGAUGAAGUUGACCUUGUUGCUUGAAAUGCCUUCUUCCCUUUUUGAAGAUGGGGAAUAUACAUUUAACGGACAUUCGGAGUUCUUAUCGAUAAAAUUAUCAACUUUUGAGUUUGAUCAAAUCUGAACUUUGGUGCCCUGUGCUAGUUUUCUGCUGUCUGACUAUAGGCUGUAUGGUCAUCUCUCACACAUUCUGAAUAUAGUUGCCAACCUUAUAUUAUCUUCAGAAAGGACACAUAGAUUGAAGAAUUAUAGCAAGUAUUGCAUUUUCGUAUUGGGCUGCAUUGAGCUCAAACUGUACAGUUUCUUGUGGGAUAAUGCAUAAAGAUAAAGGUUCUAGCAGCCACCAAAAAAACAGAACCCAAAUUCCAUUUUUCUGCUGGUCCACACGUACUUCAAGCACACUAUUGGUAGAGUUUUCUUAAAAAUCUAAGUUUACUAUACUUCCUCAACUAGUUGAAUGGAUGCCGAAGCUGAUGUAGCUCAAAUUUUCUCUUAACUAAUAUAGUUAAUGAAUUUAAAGACGCGUGAUGGAAAGAAGGUAAGAAGGUUCAACCAGGCUCCAACCAUCUGCGUUGUUGGUAAUUGACACUGCAAAACGUAAAAAUUGAAGAAUCCAUUUCAUUCUUUACAGACUAUUAAUUAAAGCCUCCACUGGUUACAAAUGUUUUUGCUGAGAGGGGCUCCUUCAGCAAUUUUCCUACUCUUCUUUGAAAUCAAACCGAAUGCCUAAAACAAAAGCAUGGCCUAUCAAAUGCUCUAGAUGACACAUCAUAAUAAUUGCUGCGAAAACUGGAUUCCAAUGUGUUUCUAGUGUGUUGUAAGUAGUCAUGAACUUCACCAUAAAAUUGAAUUUGAAUUAAUGAGGUUGUUUUUAGCAUAAUUUUGAUGCAUGAACAAGGGAUUGAGUUCCAAGUUAAGUUUCUAUUCAUGCAUGCGAUUGACCAGGCUUCCCAUUUUGUUUUAUAAGCAAAUGACAAGGGAGUACAAGGGGUACCCAAUCCACUACAAAGAGAGUAAACUAACCACUUUGCUAGCAAAUCAAAGGGUUAGUAUACCAAUUAGAAAAAGUUCAACAAGAGUUUCUACAACAUUUGCCAAGGAAUCAAGUCCAAGAAACAAGUUUAAUAUUGUAGAUACAAAGAUUAAAAUCUGCUACAUCCUCUUUGAAUAAAAUCUGGUUCCUCAUAAUUCGUAGUGUCCAAGCUGUAGCAAUCCAAAUCAAUCCCCUUCUUCUUUUUGGUAUGUUUUUGCUCAAUGUUUUGUAGCACAUGUUGAAAUGUUCUACUCCAACCUCUGUAGCAAAUGUGGACAUGCCCAACCAUUCAAAGACAGCUGUUCAAAUAGAUUUCGCAAAUCUGUAGGUGGAACAAAGAUGGUGACAGGUUUCCUCUUCGUGAAAACAAAGAACACAAGCUUUAUAAUGUUGUCCAUCAAUAACACCAUGUUUAUGCAGCUCAUCUCUGAUGCGAAGCCUUGCAAUAAGUAGCCUCCAACAAUGAAGCAAAGCUUUUGAAGGUGUAUCAGAGUUCAUAAAAUAGAUAAAGCUCCUGUUAAAUAAAGGCAAAAUGCAUCGGGUAGUCUUUUAAAAUACAUGAAAAUAUUAAAUUGAUCGUUUUUUUUUGUA
Molecule: RNA transcript, 2977 nt
Organism: Cicer arietinum (chickpea)
Lineage: Eukaryota; Viridiplantae; Streptophyta; Magnoliopsida; Fabales; Fabaceae
Gene name: APO protein 3, mitochondrial
Source: RefSeq, a predicted model, not a curated record